This 497-nucleotide ribosomal RNA is filed under the name uncultured bacterium. RNAcentral describes it as "partial 16S ribosomal RNA". It matches the Rfam family "Bacterial small subunit ribosomal RNA", at positions 28 to 507 of the family's 1533-position model. The record is from RNAcentral.
GAUGAACGCUGGCGGCGUGCCUAAUACAUGCAAGUCGAGCGAACGGACGAGAAGCUUGCUUCUCUGAUGUUAGCGGCGGACGGGUGAGUAACACGUGGAUAACCUACCUAUACGACUGGGAUAACUUCGGGAAACCGGAGCUAAUACCGGAUAAUAUUUUGAACCGCAUGGUUCAAAAGUGAAAGACGGUCUUGCUGUCACUUAUAGAUGGAUCCGCGCUGCAUUAGCUAGUUGGUAAGGUAACGGCUUACCAAGGCAACGAGGCAUAGCCGACCUGAGAGGGUGAUCGGCCACACGGGAACUGAGACACGGUCCAGACUCCGACGGGAGGCAGCAGUAGAGAAUCUUCCGCAAUGGGCGAAAGCCUGACGGAGCAACGCCGCGUGAGUGAUGAAGGUCUUCGGAUCGUAAAACUCUGUUGUUAGGGAAGAACAUAUGUGUAAGUAACUGUGCACAUCUUGACGGUACCUAAUCAGAAAGCCACGGCUAACUACGUG